RNAcentral lists this transfer RNA (73 nucleotides) under Dictyocaulus viviparus (bovine lungworm). It matches the Rfam family "tRNA". From Rfam's summary of the family: Transfer RNA (tRNA) molecules are approximately 80 nucleotides in length. Their secondary structure includes four short double-helical elements and three loops (D, anti-codon, and T loops). The record is from Rfam by way of RNAcentral. Lineage: Eukaryota; Metazoa; Nematoda; Chromadorea; Rhabditida; Metastrongylidae.
GCCUUGGUUGUCUAAUGGAUAAGGACGACAGGCAAGAAAUCUGUGUGCGCGGGUUCAAGUCUCGCUUGAGGUU